RNAcentral lists this ribosomal RNA (1458 nucleotides) under uncultured prokaryote. Its description in RNAcentral is "partial 16S ribosomal RNA". It matches the Rfam family "Bacterial small subunit ribosomal RNA". The record is from RNAcentral.
GAUGAACGCUAGCGGCAGGCCUAACACAUGCAAGUCGAGGGGUAGAGGAAGCUUGCUUCCUUGAGACCGGCGCACGGGUGCGUAACUCGUAUACGAUCUACCUUAUACUGGGGAAUAGGCCAAAGAAAUUUGGAUUAAUGCCCCAUAGUAUAUAACCUUCGCAUGUUGGUUAUAUUAAAGUUCCGAUGGUAGAAGAUGAGUAUGCGUCCUAUUAGUUAGUUGGUGAGGUAACGGCUCACCAAGACAACGAUAGGUAGGGGUCCUGAGAGGGAGAUCCCCCACAGUGGUACUGAGACACGGACCAGACUCCUACGGGAGGCAGCAGUGAGGAAUAUUGGGCAAUGGAGGCAACUCUGACCCAGCCAUGCCGCGUGCAGGAAGACGGCCAUAUGGGUGUUGUAAACUGCUUUUAUACAGGAAGAAACCUCCCUACGUGUAGGGUGCUGACGGUACUGUAAGAAUAAGGACCGGCUAACUCCGUGCCAGCAGCCGCGGUAAUACGGAGGGAGCAAGCGUUAUCCGGAAUCAUUGGGUUUAAAGGGUCCGUAGGCGGACUAUUGUCAGUGGUGAAAUCUCCUAGCUCACUAGGAAAAUUGCCUUUGAUAAUGGUUAUCUUGAGUUAUUGUGAAGUAGUUAGAAUAUGUAGUGUAGCGGUGAAAUGCAUAGAUAUUACAUAGAAUACCAAUUGCGAAGGCAGAUUACUAAUAAUAUACUGACACUGAUGGGACGAAAGCGUGGGGAGCGAACAGGGAUUUAGAUACCCCUGGGUAGUCCACGCCGUAAAACGAUGGAUACUAGCUGUUCGGGACGCAAAGUUUGAGUGGUUAAGCGAAAGUGAUAAGUAUCCCACCUGGGGGAGUACGCACGCAAGUGUGAAACUCAAAGGGAAUUGACGGGGUGACGGGGGCCCGAACAAGCGGUGGAGCAUGUGGUUUAAUUCGAUGAUACGCGAGGAACCUUACCAGGGCUUAAAUGUAGCUGGACAUAUUUAGAAAUAGAUCCUUCUUCGGGCUAGUUACAAGGUGCUGCAUGGUUGUCGUCAGCUCGUGCCGUGAGGUGUCAGGUUAAGUCCUAUAACGAGCGCAACCCCUGUUGUUAGUUGCCAGCGAGUAAUGUCGGGAACUCUAACAAGACUGCCGGUGCAAACCGUGAGGAAGGUGGGGAUGACGUCAAAUCAUCACGGCCCUUACGUCCUGGGCCACACACGUGCUACAAUGGCCGGUACAGAGAGCAGCCACUACGCGAGUAGGAGCGAAUCUUCAAAACCGGUCUCAGUUCGGAUCGGAGUCUGCAACUCGACUCCGUGAAGCUGAUAUGCCUAGUAAUCACAUAUCAGCCAUGAUGCGGUGAAUACGUUCCCGGGCCUUGUACACACCGCCCGUCAAGCCAUGGAAGCUGGGGGUACCUGAAGUCGGUGACCGUAAGGAGCUGCCUAGGGUAAAACUGGUAACUAGGGCU